RNAcentral lists this long non-coding RNA (1443 nucleotides) under Lactuca sativa (garden lettuce). RNAcentral describes it as "long non-coding RNA (LSAT_LNC005430)". The record is from RNAcentral. Lineage: Eukaryota; Viridiplantae; Streptophyta; Magnoliopsida; Asterales; Asteraceae.
UAUCACAUACAACCAAAUUUAAACUAUGACAUCCACAAGGCAUAUAAAAAGCUCUACUAUUUAUAUCAAGCAAUCGUUUUUGAACACCUUGGUGUUUUCCUUUCAUAUUUGCCCCAUUAUCAUACCCUUGACCACGAAUAUAAUUAAUAUCCAAAUCAAGAGAUUUUAGAACAUCUUGUAAAACAUUAAAAAGACCUAGACGAGAUGUAUCUUCUACAUUUAAAAACUCAAAAAAAAAACUCUUCUACUUUUAGUGGAACGUUUUCCAAAUCUGCACAUCUUAUAAUCAAAGUCAUUUGUUCUUGGUGACUAGCAUCCAGAGUGCAAUCAAGAAUUACAGAAAAAUAUUUUGCAUUUUUUAUUUUUUUAAUAAUUGCACUUUUUACCUCGGAUGCCAACAUAUCAAUUAAUUCAUUUUGAAUUUUAUGACUAAGAUAAUGAUUAUGUGUUUCUUUGUCUUUAAUCAUUCGAAAAUGUUCUUUCAUUACCGGAUCCCAUUCAGCAAUUGAUUCAAUUACACUUAAAAAAUUACCAUUUGAGUUUUCAUAAAUUUUUUCAUUUGUACCACGAAAAGCUAAGUUAUUUUUUGCUAAACAUUUGACAACAGAAAUAAUUCUAACCAUAACUUCUUUCCAAUGUUCGGUAUCUUUUUUAAUCAUUUCUUGUAGCUCUUUAUCAAUUGUUUCAUUUUUAUUUAACCUAAUACGUGUUUCAGUCCAAGUUCUUAAACAAACCAUAUGAUUAGAACUAUUUUCAUGUUGUUUUAAUGUUUCACUAAGAUGCUUCCAAUCUUUAAUUCCUUCGGUUGCCAAAUUACUUUUAGUUCGAACCGUUUUAAAAAGUUUACAACAAAAACAAAAAACUUUAUCAAGUUCUUUUGAAUACACUAACCAUUUUCUAUCAUAACAAUCACCAUUUUUUAAUUUACGUGUAUAAAAAUCAAAAGAAAAAUGUCUACCAAGUGCGUCUUUUGGAAAAAUUAUGUUUGUAUCAAUUUCUCUAUUUGGCCCUUUUUCUAUUAGUAAAUCUUUCAUUUCUGAAUCUAAAUCAUCUCAUACUCUAGGAUCAAAAAUAUUAAAAUCACUUGGUUUAUCUUUCUCAACAAAGUCAUUUUUAUCAAAAUCAUUAGAAAGGUCAACUGAAUCAUUGGAAGUACUUGGUGGAAUAUUAAAAUUAUCGUUUUUUUCAAAAUCACUAACAUUUUGAUUUCUAACCAAAAUUUUAUUCAAAGACCCUCAUAAUUCAUUAGCCUCUUGUUGUUCCUUUUUUUUUUUCGUUUUCUAUUUUGUGCACCAGAUGGUUGUUUUCGGGGAAUCAUAUUUAAAACAAAACAAAUCUACUUAUAAACACUAAACAAGGAAUGAAGGAAAGAUACAACCUGAACAAUAACACACAGCAGUAAAAUUUGAGCAACCUUCACAGCUUCACAGUUGUCAAAUAUCA